GAUGAAGAACGCAGCGAAAUGCGAUAAGUAAUGUGAAUUGCAGAAUUCAGUGAAACAUCGAAUCUUUGAACGCACAUUGCGCCCGCCAGUAUUCUGGCGAGCAUGCCUGUUCGAGCGUCAUUUCAACCAUCAAGCCCCAGGCUUGUGUUGGAGCCCUGCGGCUGCCGCAGCCUCCCAAAACCAGUGGCGGGCUCGCUAUCACACCGAGUGCAGUAGUUUACUCUUCGCUCAGGGCGUGUGGCGGGUGCUAGCCGUGAAACCCCCAACUUCUCAAGGUUGACCUCGGAUCAGGUAGGAAUACCCGCUGAACUUAAGCAUAUCAAUAAGCGGAGGA
Molecule: unclassified non-coding RNA, 334 nt
Filed under: soil metagenome
Description: partial contains 5.8S ribosomal RNA, internal transcribed spacer 2, and large subunit ribosomal RNA
Rfam family: 5.8S ribosomal RNA (bases 1-120)
Source: RNAcentral